UACGUAUGGUGCAAGCGUUAUCCGGAUUUACUGGGCGUAAAGGGAGCGCAGGCGGCGCGCCAAGUCUGAUGUGAAACCCCGGGGCUCAACCCCGGGCAUGCAUUGGAAACUGGCGGGCUGGAGUGCCGGAGAGGUAAGCGGAAUUCCUAGUGUAGCGGUGAAAUGCGUAGAUAUUAGGAGGGACACCAGUGGCGAAGGCGGCUUACUGGACGGCAACUGACGCUGAGGCUCGAAAGCGUGGGGAGCAAACAGG
This 253-nucleotide ribosomal RNA is filed under the name uncultured bacterium. Its description in RNAcentral is "partial 16S ribosomal RNA". It matches the Rfam family "Bacterial small subunit ribosomal RNA", at positions 524 to 776 of the family's 1533-position model. The record is from RNAcentral.